This 1511-nucleotide long non-coding RNA is filed under the name Homo sapiens (human). RNAcentral's name for it is "HSALNT0275351". The record is from RNAcentral. Lineage: Eukaryota; Metazoa; Chordata; Mammalia; Primates; Hominidae.
CGCGCCCGCAUCUUAUCUUUAAGCUGGCUCCAUCUUCUCAACUGCACCAGCAGCUAGUGCCCCAGCCACCUAUCCACCUAAGACGAGCCCAAGGGCCCUCCACGGGGAGGACACGCACUGCGGGUGACAUCCCCAGAGCGUCAGCACUGCUGCUCACUGGUCUGGAUGGAGCCAGCUGCAAGGACAGAGAGCCCCCAAGAGGAAAAGCAGCGCUGGGCUCAGCUGCGCCAGCAACACGGUGCGGGGACAUGGGUGCACCUCAUAGGUGAAGAGACACUGUGGAGCCCAGCCCCACCGACAGCUGGGAAAACAGGCCCAGCAAGAGCGAGAGACCAGUGCAGGCCCCCAAAGCUGCUCUCCAUUUCCCCAGCACCUGUCCCACAAAUGAAACUGUCAACACAACCUUUCGGGGAAGCCAGCAUGAGUGGAGGAGCUGUUUUAAGCCAGCCACAGAAUGGAAGAAUGCAGGGAGAGCUGGGGGCCGCCGCCCGAGACUGAGGUGCAGACUGGGCGCUCCAGCAAAGGGAUAAACAGCACUGCACUCCCCAAGCAUGGUCACACAGCUCUUCUCUACACACCUGAUGCUGUCUACCCACAGGCCCCAGACCCAACACAGGGGAGCCUUGUGCACUAAUGGACUGAACCUAGUGCUAGGCCCGAGGUGGGAAUGGUAGGGUAUUCCCCCUGGGACGGCCAGGGCGGAUGGCAGGGCCCAUAUCACUCCAGCCCUCAGCCCAGUCCUGGCUGCAGCACCAGCCCAUCUCAGCCGAACCUCAGAAGCAAGGGACAGAAGGAAAUGGGACGCUGCCUUGGAUGGCAACAAUCAGGACCACAGGAUAGCCACUGGCCUCAUGGACCUGGGGUGGCUUACUUCCCUCCCUGUGCAGAGACAUGGACCCUCGUCUACACCACACACCCCAUCCCCCAUCUAGCAGGACCAGGCUUGGGCUGCAGACCCUGCGGACAGCUUCCCUGACCUAAGCCCCUCCAGCACACCCUGGCUCUGGGGACUAAAGAUGCCCACCCUAAAGGGGGCCCACUGGCUCUGGCUGAGGGCUCAGUACUCCAAGGCCACAGUGGGAAGGUGACCAAACCCCACGAUGACCUUCUCAUUGCCGAACUUGGCUUGAUUGGUGCAAAACAAUCAUGUAUCUCCCUGGAAACAUCCAGAAACACUGGCCAGUGUUGUGGGGAGAGUCUGGCAGCCAUGCUCAGGAGAGCAGAGACCUUGGUGCUGGGCCUGUGCCAUCUGCCCCAGCCGCAGGGUGCACCCUGCAUUUGCCCUGGGGGGAAGUGCCCUAGGCCCGCAGGUCAUGGCCUCGGCAUCUCAGGUGUCUCAAGAGCAACCCGGGAUAUGCUCCAGGCAGAGCACAGAAGGCCCAGGCCCACUCCCCUGACAUGGUGGACUCUGGCCUAUGACAGGAGCCAGUCUGGAUACAAGGGAUCCUGGCCCAGAACCAAAGAGGGCUGCUUUUCAGAUGGUAACUCAAAAUGCUGUUUUUAUAUUCAAG